UUGAGAACCUCCUCCUUUUUGGGAAGUCGGUUAAAAAUUAAGCGAUACGUAUUUUUUCUUUUUUAAAUUGGAUCAGAACUUGUUAAGAUAUAGCGUGUUAAAGUUGAGUGUGACGUCACAAGUUGCUACAAUUUUCAGGACACUGUGACGUAAAAGGCCCCCACUCCUAAUUUUUGAAGUGUAUUAUCUUUGUCAUUUUAUGUUUAAUUAAAAAAAGAAAAAAUACGUAUCCAAUAUUUUUUGAUUAUCUAAAAAGCGGACUAAAUAUUAUUUCAUUAUUUCGACCAUGGAAACUACCCUAUUAAGAAAUAAUCAAUGGCGGUAAAAAUAAUUUAAGUAUUGCGUAAAUUCUCAAAGCAACAACUAAUUCAAUUUGUGAUUAUUUUGAUACUUGAAAUUUGAUUUCAUUUGUGAAAUAAGUAGGUGUAAGUAAUAUAAAACUUUUAAAAAUAUAUUUCGGUUUUAUUUUAUUCUAUCGCAUUAUUUCUCUCAAAAAUGUAUUCAUGUAGGCUCAGCCUUACAAAAAAUGGACUGUCAGUUUUGCGAUUGUCCUGUAUUUUCGACGAGGGAUUGCUUAGUUUUUGUUAAUUUUUAAUAUGAAAGGAUACAAAUUGGUUUUGCAUUAAAUAUUGUACGCUGUACAGGUAUAACUGCUGAUUCCGGUAAAUAAGUUUUUUAGUUAAAACCAAGUGUUUAGGCUAUUGUAUAGAUAGACUGUUUAGUAGAUGAUUUAUGUGAAGUUUGGUAAGGUGGGAUAUAGUAGAGUAGAUUAGGAUGGAGUAGGAUAGGGCGGAGUAAGGAAGAACGGGAGUUAAGCCGUACGGAUAAAAGCUAGUUAUGUAUGAAGUUAUGUCAUAAUACAUUGCUACGUUUAUUAAUCAUAAAAAUCAGCACGAUUUAUUUAAAAAUUGUUAAAUACAUUUUAGGUUAUAAGAAGCCACACACUUAUAGGAAGCCACUCACUGGUGCAGAAAAGACUAGGAGAUAUAGAGAAAAGAUGAGAAAGGAAAAUCCUGCCAAGUUUGAGGCACAAAGAAUAAAAAACUUACAAAGAAUGAAACAAAAGAGAAAGAGAAUUUCAGAAAUGACUCCAGAACAGGCUGAGGAGAAAAGAAAAGCUUGGCGAAAUGAAAAACGUAGACAGAAAAAAAGGAUGUUGUAAUAUUAUAUUAUGCAACACCUAUAAUCUCUUUUUUAAUCUUGUUAGAGUCGUGUAGAUUAGGAUGUAGUAAGAUAGGGCGGAGUAAGGAAGAACGGGAAUUAAGCCGUACGGACAAAAGCUUGUUAUGUAUGAAGUUAUGUCAUAAUACAUUGCUACGUUUGUUAAUCAUACAUACAAUUCAGUACUACUUUUUUUUAAAGAUGUUAUUAUUUAAAAAUUAAUAAAUACAUUUUAGGUUAUAAAAUGCCACUCACUGGUGCAGAAAGGGCUAGGAGGUAUAGAGAAAAGUUGAGAAAGGAAAAUCCUGUCAAGUUUGAAGCACAAAGAAUAAAACAUAUACAAAGAAUAAAACGAAAGAGAAAGAAAAUUUCAGAAAUGACUCCAGAACAGGCUGAGAAGAAAAGAAAAGCUUGGCGAAACGAAAAACGUAGACAGAAAAAAAGGAUGUUGUAAUAUUAAAUGCCUUAAACCUUAAUUCAGACCAAUGUUGACUUUUAGUAAUUAUAAAAUGUUGAAUAAAAAAAAGAACUGAUCAUAGAAUAAAACGAUUUUUCUGGUUAUGUUUGUUAAUUUUAUAUGAAUGAAGACAAAAUUAAUGGCUGUAAUAUAAAACAUUUAAAAUAAAUUUGGGUUUUAUUUUAUUCUAUCGCAUUAUUUUUCUCAAAAAUGUAUUAAUGUAAGCCAAGCCUUACGAAAAACGGAUUGUCAGUUUUGCUAUUGUUUAAGGUUAUGGGUAUAAAUUGUAUCAUUUCAAUAUUUAAAAUAGCAAUGUAUAUUAUCUAGUGUUUCCAUGAAAACUACUUUAAGCCAUUACAAUAUCGAAAAAUAACGCUUCCUAAAUUCUGUCAUGAUUGAAUUCGGUCAUGAUACAUUUUAUUUUGAAAACGCUCAACUAAACCGAUGUUUUUUUUUUCAGAGAUCCCCUAUAAAAUAGUAAAAUCACAGAGAGGUGUAAAACGAAACAAACCCCCAGUACCACGAAACCGAGAAUACUCCCUGGUUCUUUCUGAAAGAGGCAGAGAUAUUCUUCUACGUUCAGACUUCAAGUAUCACAAACAUAGAAUGAAAAAGGAUGGAACAGUGGUAUGGCGAUGCUCGCAAAGACACACGUGUACGGCCCUUUUAAUGACGAAUUCAAAUAUAAUUGUAGAGGAAUAUCGUCACACAUGCAUCCACAGGAUAAAUGAAAAAUAACAUUUAGUUAGUAAAAAUAUAAAAAAUGCUUUGAUACUAACUUAACUUACUUUGCCCCUCACUAACUCUCUCGAUUCGUAAUUCUAAUUCGGCUAAAAUACCUCUAGAGUCGUGUGCUACGUCAUAUGAUUUGAAUAUUACAUAAUUAGAUAAUAGUAAAUAAUUAAAAACGUUUUUGCAUUUUUUUAAAUAGGUAUGGGUACCUAUGGGUUGUCAUUCAAUAAAUCUACAAAAUAAUUUUGUUUAAUUUAUUAUUUACCGAAUCAUUAUAAGCCAACAUUAUUUCUGCAAACGCAUUUUGGCGAAGUAAGUUUCUAACCUAAACAUUACCAAAUUUUCGUUUGUUGAUGUAGCUUGGAUCUAAGUACACCGACAACUUAAACGUGGGUUUUCUUGAAACAGCAGUUUACUCUGAAUUUUCACGUUGAAGUUUAAAAGUAAGUAAAGUACCUGAGUUGUUUUUAGGAAAAACCAUUAUGUUUUGAUGAACUUUUUAUGGUCCUCUAACUAAUGUUAAAAAACUGCAGACAAUAAAAAUGAAAACAUUUGCAAAUAUGGGCGGGCAGAAUAACAAAAAAUGUUUUACGGGUUUACGUUUUAUCAACAAUGCAGCGUGAAUACAAAGAUUAAAAAAAUAUAUAUGUAAUCAAGAUUCCACGACGAACUAGAUUUGCAAAAAUCAUUUUGAAUAGAUAUUUACAUUGUUUUUAAAUAAAGACAUUAACAAAUAA
This is a long non-coding RNA of Helicoverpa armigera (cotton bollworm), 3087 nucleotides long. RefSeq lists it as uncharacterized. NCBI's taxonomy places the organism in Eukaryota, Metazoa, Arthropoda, Insecta, Lepidoptera, Noctuidae. The transcript is spliced from 2 exons. The record is from RefSeq and is a predicted model, not a curated record.